CCUCUGCAGUACUUAGUAUACUCGCCACCUCCCCACCCCCCCAAAAAAAUCAAAUGAAUUGAUCUGUGCUUUAAAAACCAGCAAACUCAGGCCCUGGCAAUCAAGAUAGGGAAUUACAAAAAAAUAAUCAGGAAUAAGGUGAGCCUAACUUUGACCUCCCAUUAUUCAGACCUGUGGAUCCUGCAAGAGGAAAUAUUUUUUUCCAAAUAUCUGGGCUGAAGAUUGCUGCAGUUAAAGUAUCUCUGUUAAGGCUAAAAAUAGAAGAAACCACCUAGAGUGUCAGAGUUUGGCUGAUUCAAGAAGUGAAGAGGUAGUCUGUGUUCAGGAUGUUGUGAGAAUGCACAUAAUUUCUAUAUUGAAG
RNAcentral lists this long non-coding RNA (361 nucleotides) under Bos taurus (domestic cattle). Its description in RNAcentral is "long non-coding RNA NONBTAT024295". The record is from RNAcentral. Lineage: Eukaryota; Metazoa; Chordata; Mammalia; Artiodactyla; Bovidae.